Molecule: RNA transcript, 2293 nt
Organism: Mus musculus (house mouse)
Lineage: Eukaryota; Metazoa; Chordata; Mammalia; Rodentia; Muridae
Gene: Vmn1r-ps79
Gene name: vomeronasal 1 receptor, pseudogene 79
Exons: 1
Source: RefSeq, marked validated
UCAGAUGAGCAUCUUCAUCCUGACUGAGGCUCAGAAGGUGAGAUUCUUCCAUCCAUGGGCUUCUGCUUAAAAUUCUCUUCUUUCUUCGGUGAAAAUUGUCUUCUGAAGCCAACAUGAAACAUUAUUUCUUUCUGAAGUCUGCAGAUUAACUUGAAUAGGUUAAUAUUUUGCUUUCAUCUCAAAGAAAUGUCUCUGUCCUAGAUUAGUACUUAGCAGAAAACAGCAUUCAGUGUAACAUAUGCAUGUGAAUGUGAUAAUGAAUUUUAUCUGGUGGAUGGAGGCCCUUGUGUUCCUAUAGAAAACAUAUAAACAAGUGAAAUGCAGACUGAGCAUCAGCUUGCAAAGGGUGUAACAGUGAUUGUGUUAGUAACUUUGGAGGGAAUCUGGAGAAAAUUAUGAAACAAUGAAACUUGUUAGCAGGUGGGGAUUUUUUUCACAUGGGGGACACAUAUGUAAGCCUAUGUUCAUUUCUGUGAUCGGGACACAGGUGGUUUUGCCAGAAAUAUAUGGUGGGUUUGUUUUGUUUUGUUUUGUUUUGUUUUUUGGCGUGUGGAUAAGUAGUAUAAAAUUUUCUCAAAAGUCCUCAACUUAUCUUUCUACAACUGAAUUCACUUACACAACUUUAUUAUUAUGUACAGUCUUACAUGUUAUUCCCAUACACAUUAUUUUUACCAUGUUACUAUUACAUAAGGUAAUUCAACUCAUUAUUUUUUAUGCUGCAUUUGUAUAUUCUUUUAAUUUUUAUUGAUUGUGUUACAUCCCAUUUGAAGCCUCCCCUCCCUUCCAAUUGUAUUGAAUUCUGAUCAUGGAAUCACAGACUCAAACUCGUCUCUUUCAUGUCUGUAUUCAUAUGUAAAACUCACGGUGUGUUAAAAUGUGUGUUAUUGUAUUCCUGAUCUACUGAACCAAUAAAGACGUAGCUUCAGUACAAAAUGUAUCUCAAGGCGGAGUAAUUCAAAAAGUAUAAAAUAACAUUCUGAGUUACUGUACAUGCAUUGUUUUCCAGACAAUGUUCCUGUGGUGUGAUAGAAUAGUGUCUCGCUUAUCAAGUGAAGAAAUUGUCUCAAAUCAAUUGGUAAGUGUGGACAAUAGAACAGAGCCCAGAGAAGAGUAGUGACCUACCUAAUCAAGACUCUAGGGCCCUGUAAAGCCCUCUCCAUGUCUGUUCGUGGUAAAUCCCUGAAAACCUCUGAGGAAGUGGCUCUUCAGAUCAUUUUGCUUUGCCAGUUUGGGGUUGGGACCAUGGCCAAUGACUUUCUGUUUGUCCAUAAUUUCUCUCCAGUCUUGACUGGUUCUAAACAGAGGCCCAGACAGGUGAUUUUAAGCCACAUGGCUGUGGCCAAUGCCUUGACUCUAUUCCUCACUGUAUUUCCAAACAACAUGAUGGCUUUCGCUCCAAGAAACCCUCCAACUGAACUGAAAUGUAAAUUAAAAUUCUUCAGUCACCUGGUGACAAGAAGCACAAAUUUGUGUUCCACCUGUGUCCUGAGUGUCCAUCAGUUUGUCACUCUGGUUCCUAUUAGUAGAGGUAAACUACUCAGAGCAAGUGUCCCAAAUUUGGUGAGUUAUUCUUGUUACGGUUGUUGGUUUUUCAGUGUCUUAAGUAACAUUCACAUUCCAAUUAAAGUCACUGGUCCACAGAUAACAGACAAUAACACUGACUCUAAAAGCAAGUUUUUCUGUUCCACUUCUGGAUUCACUGUAAGAAUUGUCUUCUUGCAGUUUUCCCAUGAUGCCACAUUCAUGAGCAUCAUGGUCUGGACCAGUGUCUCCAUGGUACUUCUCCUCCAUAGACAUCGCCAGUGAAUGCAGCACAUCCUCACUCCCAAUCAGGAUGCCAGAGGCCAAGCUGAGUCCAGAGCAACCCAUACUAUCCUGAUGCUGGUGGUCACAUUUGUUAGCUUUUAUCUUCUAAAUUUUAUUUGCAUCAUCUUUCAUACCUUUUUUAUACAUUAUAAUUUAUUCAUACGGCUUCUUGGUGAGAUUUUGGCUGCAGGUUUCCCUACUAUUUCUCCCUUACUGUUGAUCUUCAGAGAUCCUAAGAAUCCUUGUCUUGAGCUCUUCCACUGUUUUAAACCAGAGUCGCUACAAAAUUUGAAACACAGAAGACAGCUUCACUAAUACCAUUAAGUACUUCAUUUCAUAAAUAUGUUUUCAAUAUCUUGUAUGAACAAGGUGUGGUGCUCACUGCUGUAAUUUUAAAAGAGUUCAUAUUUGUUGAUAUAAAAUGAUUUCUGGUUGGAAUCUGCCUGACAGAGUAAAUGAAUUACUCAUGACCCUCUCUUCUCUUGUA